AGAGUUUGAUCCUGGCUCAGAACGAACGCUAGCGGCGUGCCUAACACAUGCAAGUCGAACGCGAAAGGUAGCAAUACCAAGUAGAGUGGCGAAAGGGCGAGUAACCCAUUCCUACGUACCCCGAGGUCGGGGAUAGCCAGGGGAAACCCUGAUUAAUACCCGAUGUGAUCGAGAGAUCAAAGGCUUGCCGCCUUGGGAGCGGGGAAUGUCCUAUCAGGUAGUUGGUGAGGUAACGGCUCACCAAGCCUCAGACGGGUAGCGGGUGUGAGAGCACGGCCCGCCGCAUCGGGACUGAGACACUGCCCGGACUCCUACGGGAGGCUGCAGUAACGAAUCUUCCACAAUGCGCGAAAGCGUGAUGGAGCAAUGCCGCGUGCAGGAUGAAGCCCUUCGGGGUGUAAACUGCUGUCAGGGUGUAGCAAAAAAAUGAGCAGACCCAAAGGAAGAGGUGGCUAACUCUGUGCCAGCAGCCGCGGUAAUUCA
Molecule: ribosomal RNA, 483 nt
Filed under: uncultured bacterium
Lineage: Bacteria
Description: bacterial SSU rRNA
Rfam family: Bacterial small subunit ribosomal RNA
Source: RNAcentral